RNAcentral lists this ribosomal RNA (863 nucleotides) under uncultured bacterium. RNAcentral describes it as "bacterial SSU rRNA". It matches the Rfam family "Bacterial small subunit ribosomal RNA", at positions 9 to 859 of the family's 1533-position model. The record is from RNAcentral.
GAGUUUGAUCCUGGCUCAGAGUGAACGCUGGCGGUAGGCCUAACACAUGCAAGUCGAACGGCAGCACAGUAAGAGCUUGCUCUUACGGGUGGCGAGUGGCGGACGGGUGAGGAAUACAUCGGAAUCUACUUUUUCGUGGGGGAUAACGUAGGGAAACUUACGCUAAUACCGCAUACGACCUACGGGUGAAAGCAGGGGAUCUUCGGACCUUGCGCGAUUGAAUGAGCCGAUGUCGGAUUAGCUAGUUGGCGGGGUAAAGGCCCACCAAGGCGACGAUCCGUAGCUGGUCUGAGAGGAUGAUCAGCCACACUGGAACUGAGACACGGUCCAGACUCCUACGGGAGGCAGCAGUGGGGAAUAUUGGACAAUGGGCGCAAGCCUGAUCCAGCCAUACCGCGUGGGUGAAGAAGGCCUUCGGGUUGUAAAGCCCUUUUGUUGGGAAAGAAAUCCAGCUGGUUAAUACCCGGUUGGGAUGACGGUACCCAAAGAAUAAGCACCGGCUAACUUCGUGCCAGCAGCCGCGGUAAUACGAAGGGUGCAAGCGUUACUCGGAAUUACUGGGCGUAAAGCGUGCGUAGGUGGUCGUUUAAGUCUGUUGUGAAAGCCCUGGGCUCAACCUGGGAACUGCAGUGGAAACUGGACGACUAGAGUGUGGUAGAGGGUAGCGGAAUUCCUGGUGUAGCAGUGAAAUGCGUAGAGAUCAGAGGAACAUCCAUGGCGAAGGCAGCUACCUGGACCAACACUGACACUGAGCACCGAAAGCGUGGGGAGCAAACAGGAUUAGAUACCUGGUAGUCCACGCCCUAAACGAUGCGAACUGGAUGUUGGGUGCAAUUUGGCACGCAGUAUUCGAAGCUAACGCG